AAUGACUGGUUUCACGUGUCCAUCCAUGUCUGAAUCAGCUGUUACUGUCCUUGUUGCAGUUUCUGUCCAUGGUGGUCUGAUAUCUCAAAGCUGAUCAAGUUCCUGGUGGGUCUCCUGUCUCAAGCAGUAGAGUGGGAGGAGCAGUCAGGAGAGAAGACACUGAAGCUGGUAUCAUCAGUGUGUACUUACAGAACCUUCCCUUUCUGUGACGGGGAUGAUGAGGAUGAGUGGUUUCAAUGUGAUCUCCUGCUGGAUCUGUACUCACAUGUGGAGGACUAUGAGACUAAAACAGGCAGGAGUGUCCUUCCAUCAUUGAGACCACUUUAUCAGUCAGCUCCUGCAGUCUGGUCCAUAGACCUCUCAGAGAGAAAGGCCUCCCUCCUCCUAGAAGUGCUGAAACUCCAACCAGAGAAGAAACCAGUACAGCUGAAAGGCUGGUCAGAUGAAGAGAGUGAAGUGAGGAGUUUCCUUCAGUGUCUGCCUUACAUCUCACAGCUGAGGUGAGUUGGAUCAGUACAGCUCAGGUGAGUUGGAUCAGUACAGCUCAGGUGAGUUGGAUCAGUACAGCUCAGGUGAGUUGGAUCAGUACAGCUCAGGUGAGUUGGAUCAGUACAGCUCAGGUGAGUUGGAUCAGUACAGCUCAGGUGAGUUGGAUCAGUACAGCUCAGGUGAGUUGGAUCAGUACAGCUCAGGGAUUGUUGUCUGUCCCUGUAUUUCACUUUUAAAAAGGAAGUUUGUUCGUAACAACCGAAUAUGCUAAACAUACACAUACUGUUUUGGAAAGAUACAAUCUUACUUUGUGGUGAUGAUUAUAAGGAACAGUUGAAGUGGAUGAUGAGUUUAGAAAGAUACAGUCUUACUUUGUGGUGAUGAUUAUAAGGAACAGUUGAAGUGGAUGAUGAGUUUAGAAAGAUAGUCAUGUUAUUUGACCUGCUAUAAUGUGACCAUCUGAAAUGCAGAUUAUAUCUCACAUAUUCAUCUAUUUGUUGUUAAACUGUUCAUGCAGUUUUACUCCACCACAGUAUCAGAGAAGAUCCCCUGAAGAGUGGAGAAAGAGAGAGAAGACAUUCCUACUGAAUCUGUGUCUUCAAGCAGCCCUCCAUGAGAGAGAAACCAUACAAACAACUGUAGGGAAAGUGUUGUCACUGUCUGAAGUUUAUCAGGGUCGGAAAUGGGAUCUCCUGCUGGAUCUGUACUCUCACGUGAAGGACUAUGAGACUAAAACAGGCAGGAGUGUCCUUCCAGCAUUACAGCCAGUUUACCAGUCAGCUCCUGCAGUCUGGUCCAUAGACCUCUCAGAGAGAAAGGCUUCCCUCCUCCUUGAAGUGCUGAAACUCCAACCAGAGAAGAAAUCAGUAGAGCUGUGGGACUGGUCAGAUGAAGAGAGUGAAGUGAGGAGUUUCCUUCAGUGUCUGCCCUACAUCUCACAGCUGAGUUUUACUCCACCACAGUAUCAGAGAAGAUCCCCUGAAGAGUGGAGAAAGAGAGAGAAGACAUUCCUACUGAAUCUGUGUCUUCAAGCAGCCCUCCAUGAGAGAGAAACCAUACAAACAACUGUAGGGAAAGUGUUGUCACUGUCUGAAGUUUAUCACAAUCAGAAAUGGGAGCUCCUGCUGGAUCUGUAUUCUCAUGUGAAGGACUAUGAGACUCAAACAGGCAGGAGUGUCCUUCCAGCAUUACAGCCAGUUUACCAGUCAGCUCCUGCAGUCUGGUCCAUAGACCUCAGAAAGAGAAUGGUCUCCCUCCUCCUAGAAGUGCUGAAACUCCAACCAGAGAAGAAACCAGUACAGCUGAAAGGCUGGUCAGAUGAAGAGAGUGAAGUGAGGAGUUUCCUUCAGUGUCUGCCCUACAUCUCACAGCUGAGUUUCUGUCCAUGGUGGUCUGAUCCCUCAAAGCUGAUCAAGUUCCUGGUGGGUCUCCUGUCUCAAGCAGCAGAGUGGGAGGAGCAGUCAGGAGAGAAGACACUGAAGCUGGUGUCAUCAGUGUGUACUUACAGAACCUUCCCUUUCUGUGACGAGGUUUAUUUUGAUGAGUCGUUUCAAUGGGAUCUCCUGCUGGAUCUGUAUUCACAUGUGAAGGACUAUGAGACUCAAACAGGCAGGAGUGUCCUUCCAGCAUUACAGCCAGUUUACCAGCCAGCUCCUGCAGUCUGGUUCAUAGAUCUCUCAGAGAGAAAGGUCUCCCUCCUCCUAGAAGUGCUGAAACUCCAACCAGAGAAGAAAUCAGUAGAGCUGAAAGGCUGGUCAGAUGAAGAGAGUGAAGUGAGGAGUUUCCUUCAGUGUCUGCCCUACAUCUCACAGCUGAGUUUCUGUCCAUGGUGGUCUGAUAUCUCAAAGCUGAUCAAGUUCCUGGUGGGUCUCCUGUCUCAAGCAGCAGAGUGGGAGGAGCAGUCAGGAGAGAAGACACUGAAGCUGGUGUCAUCAGUGUGUAUUUACAGAACCUUCCCUUUCUGUGACGGGGAUGAUUUUGAUGAGUCGUUUCAAUGUGAUUUCCUGCUGGAUCUGUAUUCACAUGUGAAGGACUAUGAGACUCAAACAGGCAGGAGUGUCCUUCCAACAUUACAGACAGUUUACCAGUCAGCUCCUGCAGUCUGGUCCAUAGACCUCUCAGAGAGAAAGGCCUCCCUCCUCCUAGAAGUGCUGAAACUCCAACCAGAGAAGAAACCAGUAGAGCUGAAAGGCUGGUCAGAUGAAGAGAGUGAAGUGAGGAGUUUCCUUCAGUGUCUGCCCUACAUCUCACAGCUGAGGUGAGUCUGAACAUAAUGUAUGUGGUUAGUGAUUAUGUGAUGCUAAUAGUGAUGUGUCUUUAUGAAAUCUUGUAACAUGAAACCUCAAUGUUUACUCAGAAUACCUGAUCUAUAAAACUUGUAUUACUUUAUGUCAUGGCAUAUUAUGUAACUUUCUCUGUAACAUCACAUGGUAUUACUUUUCCAUGCGACAGUUCAAUAUUCAUGUAUUCUAACUGUCGUUUGAUUUCAUGUGUCCCUCAUGUUCUGCUGUUUCAGCUGUGAUUCUGACAGGUUCUUCCAGCGUGUGUGUGAAUCCAUCCCUGUGAGGUCCAGAGAGGAUGCCCAGCAGUUGGCCUCUCUCCUCCAGGCCUUGGGCUCCACCCUGUCACUGGGAGGACAGUUACCCAGGAAAACCUGCAGGUCUGUGGUGAGAGUGCUUGGCCUCUGUGCCUCCAGAGUGGACCUCACUCUCACCCCCAGCAAGAUCUCUCUGAAAGGAGCCUCACUUCUCUUCACACAUGUAUCACAGCUACACAAGCUCAG
This 3271-nucleotide long non-coding RNA is filed under the name Oncorhynchus mykiss (rainbow trout). Its description in RNAcentral is "lncRNA (ENSOMYG00000062152.1)". The record is from RNAcentral. Lineage: Eukaryota; Metazoa; Chordata; Actinopteri; Salmoniformes; Salmonidae.